UACGGAAGGGGCAAGCGUUGUUCGGAAUCAUUGGGCGUAAAGGGCGCGUAGGUGGUUCUGUAUGUCUACCGUGAAAGCGUACGGCUCAACCGUAUUUUGUCGGUGGAAACUGCAGGACUUGAGGCUGGGAGGGGCUGGUGGAAUUCCCUGUGUAGCGGUGAAAUGCGUAGAGAUCGGGAGGAACACCCGUAGCGAAGGCGGCCACCUGGGCCGACCCUGACGCUGAGGCGCGAAAGCUAGGGGAGCGAACAGG
RNAcentral lists this ribosomal RNA (253 nucleotides) under uncultured bacterium. RNAcentral describes it as "partial 16S ribosomal RNA". It matches the Rfam family "Bacterial small subunit ribosomal RNA", at positions 524 to 776 of the family's 1533-position model. The record is from RNAcentral.